GAUGAACGCUAGCGAUAGGCUUAACACAUGCAAGUCGAGGGGCAGCAUGGUCUUAGCUUGCUAAGACUGAUGGCGACCGGCGCACGGGUGCGUAACGCGUAUGCAACUUGCCUCACAGAGGGGGAUAACCCGUCGAAAGACGGACUAAUACCGCGUACACUCCAUCUUGGGCAUCCAAGGUAGAGGAAAUGAAAUUCGCUGUGAGAUAGGCAUGCGUCCCAUUAGCUAGUUGGUGAGGUAACGGCUCACCAAGGCGACGAUGGGUAGGGGAACUGAGAGGUUGAACCCCCACACUGGUACUGAGACACGGACCAGACUCCUACGGGAGGCAGCAGUGAGGAACAUUGGUCAAUGGGCGAGAGCCUGAACCAGCCAAGUCGCGUGAAGGAUGACUGUCUUAUGGAUUGUAAACUUCUUUUAUACGGGAAUAACAAGAGUCACGUGUGACUCCCUGCAUGUACCGUAUGAAUAAGCAUCGGCUAACUCCGUG
This 490-nucleotide ribosomal RNA is filed under the name uncultured bacterium. Its description in RNAcentral is "partial 16S ribosomal RNA". It matches the Rfam family "Bacterial small subunit ribosomal RNA", at positions 28 to 507 of the family's 1533-position model. The record is from RNAcentral.